GUCUUCGUAGUGUAGUGGUCAGCACGCUCGACGCGUAACCGAGAGAUCCGGGGUUCGAUUCCCGGCGAAGGCU
Molecule: transfer RNA, 73 nt
Filed under: Stegodyphus mimosarum
Lineage: Eukaryota; Metazoa; Arthropoda; Arachnida; Araneae; Eresidae
Rfam family: tRNA
About the family: Transfer RNA (tRNA) molecules are approximately 80 nucleotides in length. Their secondary structure includes four short double-helical elements and three loops (D, anti-codon, and T loops). Further hydrogen bonds mediate the characteristic L-shaped molecular structure. tRNAs have two regions of fundamental functional importance: the anti-codon, which is responsible for specific mRNA codon recognition, and the 3' end, to which the tRNAs corresponding amino acid is attached (by aminoacyl-tRNA synthetases). tRNAs cope with the degeneracy of the genetic code in two manners: having more than one tRNA (with a specific anti-codon) for a particular amino acid; and 'wobble' base-pairing, i.e. permitting non-standard base-pairing at the 3rd anti-codon position.
Source: Rfam by way of RNAcentral